UUAGUUCUUCAUUACAAAUUAGUGUAGGGUGU
RNAcentral lists this non-coding RNA (32 nucleotides) under Mus musculus (house mouse). The record is from RNAcentral. Lineage: Eukaryota; Metazoa; Chordata; Mammalia; Rodentia; Muridae.